CCAGAAGACCCCUCCGUCCGCCCUGGCCCUGCCAUGAGCCUCAUCCUCCUUUGCUGUGUGGCCACGUGUCUCCUGCAGCCAGGACCCGUGAAUGCUGGCAUCACUCAGACCCCCAAAUUCCAGGUCCUGGGGACAGGACGGAGCAUGGCGCUGAGAUGCGAACAGGACACGAACCACGACUACAUGUACUGGUAUAGGCAAGACCCUGGACACGGGCUGCGGCUGAUCCAUUACUCCAUCAACGUUGGUACCACUCAGAAAGGAGAAAUCUCCGAUGGGUACAAUGUCUCUAGGUCAACUACAAAGAACUUCCUCCUCACACUGGCGUCCACCACUCCCUCCCAGACAUCUGUGUACUUCUCUGCCAGCACUGACUACACACAGCUGCACAGCUGCCUCCUCUCCUCACAAAAAUAG
Molecule: non-coding RNA, 417 nt
Organism: Hyaena hyaena (striped hyena)
Lineage: Eukaryota; Metazoa; Chordata; Mammalia; Carnivora; Hyaenidae
Source: the annotation of a RefSeq genome assembly